RNAcentral lists this ribosomal RNA (498 nucleotides) under uncultured bacterium. RNAcentral describes it as "partial 16S ribosomal RNA". It matches the Rfam family "Bacterial small subunit ribosomal RNA", at positions 30 to 523 of the family's 1533-position model. The record is from RNAcentral.
AUUGAACGCUGGCGGCAUGCCUUACACAUGCAAGUCGAACGGUAACAGGCCUUCGGAUGCUGACGAGUAGCGAACGGGUGAGUAAUACAUCGGAACGUGCCUAGUAGUGGGGGAUAACUACUCGAAAGAGUGGCUAAUACCGCAUGAGAUCUACGGAUGAAAGCAGGGGAUCGCAAGACCUUGUGCUACUAGAGCGGCCGAUGGCAGAUUAGGUAGUUGGUGGGAUAAAAGCUUACCAAGCCGACGAUCUGUAGCUGGUCUGAGAGGACGAUCAGCCACACUGGGACGGAGACACGGCCCAGACUCCUACGGGAGGCAGCAGUGGGGAAUUUUGGACAAUGGGCGAAAGCCUGAUCCAGCAAUGCCGCGUGCAGGAUGAAGGCCUUCGGGUUGUAAACUGCUUUUGUACGGAACGAAAAGCCCCGGGUUAAUACCCUGGGGUCAUGACGGUACCGUAAGAAUAAGCACCGGCUAAUUACGUGCCAGCCGCCGCAGUAA